Molecule: ribosomal RNA, 492 nt
Filed under: uncultured bacterium
Lineage: Bacteria
Description: partial 16S ribosomal RNA
Rfam family: Bacterial small subunit ribosomal RNA
Source: RNAcentral
AGUGAACGCUGGCGGUAGGCCUAACACAUGCAAGUCGAACGGCAGCACAGUAAGAGCUUGCUCUUACGGGUGGCGAGUGGCGGACGAGUGAGGAAUACAUCGGAAUCUACUUUUUCGUGGGGGAUAACGUAGGGAAACUUACGCUAAUACCGCAUACGACCUACGGGUGAAAGCAGGGGAUCUUCGGACCUUGCGCGAUUGAAUGAGCCGAUGUCGGAUUAGCUAGUUGGCGGGGUAAAGGCCCACCAAGGCGACGAUCCGUAGCUGGUCUGAGAGGAUGAUCAGCCACACUGGAACUGAGACACGGUCCAGACUCCUACGGGAGGCAGCAGUGGGGAAUAUUGGACAAUGGGCGCAGGCCUGAUCCAGCCAUACCGCGUGGGUGAAGAAGGCCUUCGGGUUGUAAAGCCCUUUUGUUGGGAAAGAAAAGCAGCGGGUUAAUACCCCGCUGUUCUGACGGUACCCAAAGAAUAAGCACCGGCUAACUUCGUG